GGAAGGGACUGGUGGAACUCUAAGAGGACAAUCAGGAACUGGACCCCUAGACGGGGUCUGGAUCCCAUAAGCAAAGUGUGUCCCAUUAGCAUUGUCCUCAAGUAGGACAGAGGGAUUUUAUGAGCUUCAUAUCAUCGGGUAGAUGUGAUAUAAAAGGCGAACAAAUGAAAAUUAGAGGAAAAUUCAGUACCUUAGACCCUAUAACUUGAAUACAGAAC
Molecule: long non-coding RNA, 218 nt
Filed under: Capsicum annuum
Lineage: Eukaryota; Viridiplantae; Streptophyta; Magnoliopsida; Solanales; Solanaceae
Description: long non-coding RNA (CANN_LNC015927)
Source: RNAcentral